Molecule: long non-coding RNA, 2289 nt
Organism: Mauremys reevesii (Reeves's turtle)
Lineage: Eukaryota; Metazoa; Chordata; Testudines; Geoemydidae
Exons: 3
Source: RefSeq, a predicted model, not a curated record
GCGUGUUAGCUGAAAGGCCUGAUCACCCUAUCAGCCAGGAGCCUCCUCCGAUUUUGCUGGCUUGUGUCGUAUCGUGUCGUAUCAAAAUAAAAUCACGUCCCACUAACCUGUCAUGUACUUGGUGUUCGGGCUGCUGGUCAGCUGCAUCUGAAGUGUGAAGCUGGUCCAGUAAGAGACACUACCUCAUCCAUCUUGUAUCUCUAAUAUCCUGGGACCAAGACAGUUACCACAACACUGCAAAAUAUCAAAAACAUCUUUAAAAGUAUUUGCAUAAUGUCAUGUAAUCUCUUCCAUUACUAGACAUAUCAAGACAAUAAUGAAAGUUGGAAAUCGUUAGUGUCAGCACUCUACACUUCCAGACUGCACCCACUGAGAAAGCAUGUGUUUGCACAGAGACCUCAGACCACUCAGGACCUUGAAGGACAACUGCAGCUAAAAGGAGACCAGAAGCAACUGGUGUUGUGUGAAAUUAAAAAUUCAAGAGAGUUAAUUACAGAAUAAAAUGAAGUAGUAACUAAAUUGAUCUGAGUAAUUAAGGUCAAAUUUGACAAAAUUGAGGAGUAAGUAAAUAAAGGCAUUUAUAGCACACACAGAGAUCUGAAAAUGCUAAGCUCUUUGGCAUAGGGACUGUCUUUUUGUUCUAUGUUUCUAGAGCACCUAGUUAAAUGAAAUUCUGGUCCAUGAUUGGGGCUCCUGUGCACUACCAUAAUACAAAUAAAUAAAUUGCUGUAUAAGAAGAGGAUGGCAAGCCACCAAAAGUUUCAUCUGUGGCUGAAAAAGACUACUGCAGGAAGAUUAUUUGUAUUACCACAACACCUAGGAGCCCUGUUCAUGGACAAGGACCCCAUUGUGGUAGGCACUGUACCAACACAAAACAGACUGCCUCCAGAAGAUUACAAUCUACAAUAAGACAAGAGACAUCAGAUGAAUAGAGAGAGAUGGGGGAGUACAAGUAAACAAUAAGACAAUAUUGGACAGCCCAACAGGGAGUUCUCUGCACACCAACAGCCUAACUGCUGUCAAGUUGCUUGUAGGUAUCAUGGCAAAUUAGAGGUUUUUAGGAAGGAUUUAAAAUAGGAUUUAAAAUAGCUUAUCUGGGCCAAAAUUCCUACAUCAGACUUCAUCUAUCCAGGAAGUAAGAUAGUCCCAACAUGAUUAUAUUACUCCAGAAGAUAAUUAUACUAGGAUACAACGAUGGCAACAGCCUAAACACCAUUGUAUUUGCUGGGCUUUUUGAUUAGUGCCAGAAAGGGAAAGGAAAGGUGUUCCAUGACAGCAGAAUUUUUUAGUGAGAGAUCAAGAUUUCUGACUCAGAAGAUUAAGGAGACUUUGACAAAUUAAGUUUGAAGAUUCUCCAGAUUACGUUUUUUCCUCUUUUAUGUGUGAAGUUUACUGAAAGAAUGGACAGUUAAGUUGUGAACUAGUUUCAGUUGGGAUUCUUAGUGUGGCAGAAGUGGGAGUUAGGGAUACAGAGAAGUAGUAAAAUAGCUAAUAUAGAGAUGAAGUGUGAAGCCAAAGUCAUGGCACACCAAGCCAAAGUCUCAGCUCAAGGAACAAGUGAACAAAAAAGUUUCCCCCCAAAUGAAAAGCAUUUCUCCCCCUGAAAGGAAGGAAGGAAGGAAGGAAGGAAGGAAAAGAGAGAGAGAGUGAGUGAGUGUUGCCUGCCUUCAUAUAAUAGCUUAUCUGGGCCAUAACAACUUCACUUUUCUUUUACUAGCUUAGGAAAAAUAACAUUUUACCAUAUAUAUUAAAUAUUAAAAUGGUAUUCCUAGGCAUCCAAAGUACUCCAAAAAACCCUUCCCACAUGAAAUAAAAAUUAAUAUCCAUCAUGUAAGUUAAGUAUUUAUAUAUAACUACACAAUGAAUAUUUAGUACAGAAGUAUUAAUAUUUAAUUACAUAGUAGCCAGCAGAAAGUCCUGUCAGGAUCAGUACCGAUUGUGCUAAAUGUUGUACAAACAUGUAAGAAGAACUAAGAAUCUCCAAGCUAAAAAGCAUUGCUCAGGUUUUUGCUGUUAACCAGGAUGUAUUUGAUUGACUAACGGAGUUGUGGUGGGUUUGGAUACAUAGGUCUUAAAAGAAUAUGGGUUGGGGAAGGUAGACAGAACUUUUUUCUCAGUGUGUGGGGCACAACUGGUUAUACUCUAGUGCAGUGGUCCCCAACGCGGUGCCCGUGGGCGCCAUGGCACCCGUGGGGGCAUCUUAAUGUGCCCACGCCCUGGACCCCGGGAGAGCACCCGCCGAAAUGCUGCCGAAUUUCAGCGGCAUUUUGGUGGGGACGCCUCUCGAUG